UUCGCCCUUAGAGUUUGAUCCUGGCUCAGGACGAACGCUGGCGGCGCGCCUAACACAUGCAAGUCGAACGAGCGAGAGAGAGCUUGCUUUCUCGAGCGAGUGGCGAACGGGUGAGUAACGCGUGAGGAACCUGCCUCAAAGAGGGGGACAACAGUUGGAAACGACUGCUAAUACCGCAUAAGCCCACGGGUCGGCAUCGACCAGAGGGAAAAGGAGCGAUCCGCUUUGAGAUGGCCUCGCGUCCGAUUAGCUAGUUGGUGAGGUAAUGGCCCACCAAGGCAACGAUCGGUAGCCGGACUGAGAGGUUGAACGGCCACAUUGGGACUGAGACACGGCCCAGACUCCUACGGGAGGCAGCAGUGGGGAAUAUUGCACAAUGGGGGAAACCCUGAUGCAGCGACGCCGCGUGGAGGAAGAAGGUCUUCGGAUUGUAAACUCCUGUUGUUGGGGAAGAUAAUGACGGUACCCGACAAGGAAGUGACGGCUAACUACGUGCCAGCAGCCGCGGUAAAACGUAGGUCACAAGCGUUGUCCGGAAUUACUGGGUGUAAAGGGAGCGCAGGCGGGAAGACAAGUUGGAAGUGAAAUCUAUGGGCUCAACCCGUAAACUGCUUUCAAAACUGUUUUUCUUGAGUAGUGCAGAGGUAGGCGGAAUUCCCGGGUGUAGCGGUGGAAUGCGUAGAAAUCGGGAGGAACACCAGUGGCGAAAGCGGCCUACUGGGCCCCAACUGACGCUGAAGGUCGAAAGUGGGGGGAGCAAACAGGAGUAGAUACCCUGGGUAGUCCACACCGUAAACGAUGAUUACUAGGUGUUGGAGGAUUGACCCCUUCAGUGCCGCAGUUAACACAAUAAGUAAUCCACCUGGGGAGUACGACCGCAAGGUUGAAACUCAAAGGAAUUGACGGGGGCCCGCACAAGCAGUGGAGUAUGUGGUUUAAUUCGACGCAACGCGAAGAACCUUACCAAGUCUUGACAUCCUGCGACAGACAUAGAAAUAUGUUUUUCCUUCGGGACGCAGAGACAGGUGGUGCAUGGUUGUCGUCAGCUCGUGUCGUGAGAUGUUGGGUUAAGUCCCGCAACGAGCGCAACCCUUAUGGUCAGUUACUACGCAAGAGGACUCUGGCCAGACUGCCGUUGACAAAACGGAGGAAGGUGGGGAUGACGUCAAAUCAUCAUGCCCUUUAUGACUUGGGCUACACACGUACUACAAUGGCGUUAAACAAAGAGAAGCAAGACCGCGAGGUGGAGCAAAACUCAGAAACAACGUCCCAGUUCGGACUGCAGGCUGCAACUCGCCUGCACGAAGUCGGAUUGCUAGUAAUCGUGGAUCAGCAUGCCACGGUGAAUACGUUCCCGGGCCUUGCACACACCGCCCGUCA
This 1380-nucleotide ribosomal RNA is filed under the name uncultured bacterium. Its description in RNAcentral is "16S ribosomal RNA". It matches the Rfam family "Bacterial small subunit ribosomal RNA". The record is from RNAcentral.